CNCCCCUGGAUGNUCUUGNCUNNGUGGAAAGGGGGGAGAANCGGAUUAAUACCCUGUAUCCCCCNCNUAANGAAUGUCGAUAGNCGUGGGNUCCUGAGAGUUAGUGGCGCAGUAACCGCAUUAAUCGGCCCGCNUGGGAGUACGGCCGCAANUAAAACUCAAAGAAUUGACGGGGGGCCCGCACAAGCGGUGGAGCAUGUGGUUUAAUUCGAAGCAACGCGAAGACCUUACCUGGCCUUGACAUCCUGCGACUGGGUAGAGAUACCUGGGUGCUUCGGGAGCGCAGAGACAGGUGCUGCAUGGCNGUCGUCAGCUCGUGUCGUGAGAUGUUGGGUUAAGUCCCCGUAACGAGCGCAACCCUUGUCCUUAGUUACCAGCACGUCAUGGUGGGCACUCUAAGGAGACUGCCGGUGACAAACCGGAGGAAGGUGGGGAUGCGUCAAGUCAUCAUGGCCCUUACGGCCAGGGCUACACACGUGCUACAAUGGUCGGUACAGAGGGUUGCCAAGUCGCGAGGCGGAGCUAAUCCCAGAAAACCGAUCGUAGUCCGGAUCGCAGUCUGCAACUCGACUGCGUGAAGUCGGAAUCGCUAUAAUCGCGAAUCAGAAUGUCGCGGUGAAUACGUUCCCGGGCCUUGUACACACCGCCCGUCACACCAUGGGAGUGGGUUGCUCCAGAAGUAGCUAGUCUAACCUUCGGGGGGACGGUUACCACGGAG
Molecule: ribosomal RNA, 718 nt
Filed under: nitrogen-fixing bacterium PB3
Lineage: Bacteria
Description: bacterial SSU rRNA
Rfam family: Bacterial small subunit ribosomal RNA
Source: RNAcentral